GACGAACGCUGGCGGCGUGCUUAACACAUGCAAGUCGAACGGAAAGGCCCUGCUUUUGUGGGGUGCUCAAGUGGCGAACGGGUGAGUAACACGUGAGUAACCUGCCCUUGACUUUGGGAUAACUUCAGGAAGCUGGGGCUAAUACCGGAUAGGAGCUCCUGCUGCAUGGUGGGGGUUGGAAAGUUUCGGCGGUUGGGGAUGGACUCGCGGCUUAUCAGCUUGUUGGUGGGGUAGUGGCUUACCAAGGCUUUGACGGGUAGCCGGCCUGAGAGGGUGACCGGCCACAUUGGGACUGAGAUACGGCCCAGACUCCUACGGGAGGCAGCAGUGGGGAAUAUUGCACAAUGGGCGGAAGCCUGAUGCAGCAACGCCGCGUGCGGGAUGACGGCCUUCGGGUUGUAAACCGCUUUCGCCUGUGACGAAGCGUGAGUGACGGUAAUGGGUAAAGAAGCACCGGCUAACUACGUG
This 468-nucleotide ribosomal RNA is filed under the name uncultured bacterium. RNAcentral's name for it is "partial 16S ribosomal RNA". It matches the Rfam family "Bacterial small subunit ribosomal RNA", at positions 28 to 507 of the family's 1533-position model. The record is from RNAcentral.